RNAcentral lists this ribosomal RNA (378 nucleotides) under uncultured bacterium. RNAcentral's name for it is "bacterial SSU rRNA". It matches the Rfam family "Bacterial small subunit ribosomal RNA", at positions 521 to 896 of the family's 1533-position model. The record is from RNAcentral.
UAAUACAGAAUCCCCAAGCGUUAUCCGGAUUUAUUGGGCGUAAAGGGUCCGUAGGCGGUUUGGUAAGUCUGACGUUAAAUACCUUGAGCUUAACUUAAGGAGGGCGUUGGAAACUGCCAAACUAGAGGGCGUUAGAGGUUGAAGGAACGCUCGGUGUAGGGGUGAAAUCCGUUGAUAUCGAGCGGAACACCAAAAGCGAAGGCAUUCAACUGGGGCGACCCUGACGCUGAGGGACGAAAGCGUGGGUAGCAAAAAGGAUUAGAUACCCUUGUAGUCCACGCUGUAAACGAUGGACACUGGUUAUCUGUAGUGUCGACCCUACAGGUGACGAAGCUAACGCGUUAAGUGUCCCGCCUGGGAAGUACGGUCGCAAGACUA